This 68-nucleotide transfer RNA is filed under the name Stenocranius gregalis (narrow-headed vole). Its description in RNAcentral is "tRNA-His". It matches the Rfam family "tRNA". Rfam says of the family: Transfer RNA (tRNA) molecules are approximately 80 nucleotides in length. Their secondary structure includes four short double-helical elements and three loops (D, anti-codon, and T loops). Further hydrogen bonds mediate the characteristic L-shaped molecular structure. tRNAs have two regions of fundamental functional importance: the anti-codon, which is responsible for specific mRNA codon recognition, and the 3' end, to which the tRNAs corresponding amino acid is attached (by aminoacyl-tRNA synthetases). tRNAs cope with the degeneracy of the genetic code in two manners: having more than one tRNA (with a specific anti-codon) for a particular amino acid; and 'wobble' base-pairing, i.e. permitting non-standard base-pairing at the 3rd anti-codon position. The record is from RNAcentral. Lineage: Eukaryota; Metazoa; Chordata; Mammalia; Rodentia; Cricetidae.
GUAAAUAUAGUUUAAAAAAACCGUCAGACUGUGAAUCUGAAGAUAGGACAUAACCAUCCUUAUUUACC